CGGGCAGUCGAAGGGACUCAGGCAGAUGCUGCACGUCAGCUCGUCCUCCAGACCGAUCAGAGACACGUCGGCCAUGACCGGCAGAGUCUUAUUUUCAGACCUAAAGGAGUCAGGUUUGCAGAGAGACGAUUGGCUCCUUCCCUCCAUCCUGGACUUCAGAGUCACUGAGACCUUCACACCCUGGACACCAGCUGUUCCCACUCCGCCCUCUGGGGGCGCUACAGAGCACUGGACGCCCAAACCGCCUGACACAGGAACAGCUUCCUCCCACUGGCCGUCACUGUGAAGAACAAUUCAUCCAACACCUCCACCUGCACUACUUUACCACCUUCCCAAAUGCAUUAUACACUGUCAUUGUUCAUAUAUAAUAUUCUGUAUAUAUUUAUUUGUGGACAUAAGUUCAAUAGUUUCUGUGUUCUCUGUUUAAUGACUUGUUGUAAAUCUUGUGUUUGUAUGGAGGACGAGAGCAGUGGCGUCCCUAGGCUAAAACAUCCGGGGCUUAGCCCCGAAUGUUAAUAAUUAACAAAAAGAUUUGGCACACAAGUGGUUAACACCUC
Long non-coding RNA from Pseudoliparis swirei, 557 nucleotides. RefSeq lists it as uncharacterized. The transcript has 2 exons. NCBI's taxonomy places the organism in Eukaryota, Metazoa, Chordata, Actinopteri, Perciformes, Liparidae. The record is from RefSeq and is a predicted model, not a curated record.